RNAcentral lists this transfer RNA (71 nucleotides) under Cladophialophora immunda. RNAcentral's name for it is "tRNA-Gly (GCC) (tRNA-Gly-GCC-1-1)". It matches the Rfam family "tRNA". From Rfam's summary of the family: Transfer RNA (tRNA) molecules are approximately 80 nucleotides in length. Their secondary structure includes four short double-helical elements and three loops (D, anti-codon, and T loops). Further hydrogen bonds mediate the characteristic L-shaped molecular structure. tRNAs have two regions of fundamental functional importance: the anti-codon, which is responsible for specific mRNA codon recognition, and the 3' end, to which the tRNAs corresponding amino acid is attached (by aminoacyl-tRNA synthetases). tRNAs cope with the degeneracy of the genetic code in two manners: having more than one tRNA (with a specific anti-codon) for a particular amino acid; and 'wobble' base-pairing, i.e. permitting non-standard base-pairing at the 3rd anti-codon position. The record is from Rfam by way of RNAcentral. Lineage: Eukaryota; Fungi; Ascomycota; Eurotiomycetes; Chaetothyriales; Herpotrichiellaceae.
GCACUGGUGGUUUAGUGGUAAAAUCCAUCGUUGCCAUCGAUGGGCCCCGUGUUCGAUUCACGGCCAGUGCA